AACGAACGCUGGCGGCAGGCUUAACACAUGCAAGUCGAGCGCCCCGCAAGGGGAGCGGCAGACGGGUGAGUAACGCGUGGGAAUCUACCCAUCUCUACGGAAUAACUCAGGGAAACUUGUGCUAAUACCGUAUACGCCCUUCGGGGGAAAGAUUUAUCGGGGAUGGAUGAGCCCGCGUUGGAUUAGCUAGUUGGUGGGGUAAUGGCCUACCAAGGCGACGAUCCAUAGCUGGUCUGAGAGGAUGAUCAGCCACACUGGGACUGAGACACGGCCCAGACUCCUACGGGAGGCAGCAGUGGGGAAUAUUGGACAGUGGGCGCAAGCCUGAUCCAGCCAUGCCGCGUGAGUGAUGAAGGCCCUAGGGUUGUAAAGCUCUUUCACCGGUGAAGAUAAUGACGGUAACCGGAGAAGAAGCCCCGGCUAACUUCGUGCCAGCCGCCGCGGUAA
RNAcentral lists this ribosomal RNA (447 nucleotides) under uncultured bacterium. RNAcentral's name for it is "partial 16S ribosomal RNA". It matches the Rfam family "Bacterial small subunit ribosomal RNA", at positions 29 to 523 of the family's 1533-position model. The record is from RNAcentral.